RNAcentral lists this ribosomal RNA (253 nucleotides) under uncultured bacterium. RNAcentral describes it as "partial 16S ribosomal RNA". It matches the Rfam family "Bacterial small subunit ribosomal RNA", at positions 524 to 776 of the family's 1533-position model. The record is from RNAcentral.
UACGUAGGGUGCGAGCGUUGUCCGGAAUUAUUGGGCGUAAAGAGCUCGUAGGUGGCGUGUCGCGUCUGCCGUGAAAGCCCAUGGCUUAACUGUGGGUCUGCGGUGGAUACGGGCAGGCUGGAGGCUGGUAGGGGCAAGCGGAAUUCCUGGUGUAGCGGUGAAAUGCGCAGAUAUCAGGAGGAACACCGGUGGCGAAGGCGGCUUGCUGGGCCAGUUCUGACGCUGAGGAGCGAAAGCGUGGGGAGCGAACAGG